ACCUGACUGCUAUCGGAUUGGUACUAAGCCAUGUGAGUCAUUGUAGCAAUACAAGGCAUGCGGCUCAGUAACACGUAGUCAAUCUGCCCUAUGGNACGUGGAUAACCUCGGGAAACUGAGAAUAAUCCGCGAUAGAUCAUAAUGCCUGGAACGGUUUAUGGUCCAAAUGAUUCGUCGCCAUAGGAUGGGACUGCGGCCUAUCAGCUUGUUGGUGAGGUAAUGGCCCACCAAGGCUAUUACAGGUACGGGCUCUGAGAGGAGAAGCCCGGAGAUGGGUACUGAGACACGGACCCAGGCCCUAUGGGGCGCAGCAGGCGAGAAACCUUUGCAAUGUGCGCAAGCACGACAAGGUUAAUCCGAGUGUUUCCUGCUAAAGGAAUCUUUUGUUAGUUCUAAAACCACUGAUGAAUAAGGGGUGGGCAAGUUCUGGUGUCAGCCGCCGCGGUAAAACCAGCACCUCAAGUGGUCAGGAGGAUUAUUGGGCCUAAAGCAUCCGUAGCCGGUUCUGUAAGUUUUCGGUUAAAUCCACUAGCUCAACUAAUGGGCUGCCGGAAAUACUGCAGAACUAGGGAGUGGGAGAGGUAGACGGUACUCGGGAGGAAGGGGUAAAAUCCUUUGAUCUCUUGAUGACCACCUGUGGCGAAGGCGGUCUACCAGAACACGUUCGACGGUGAGGGAUGAAAGCUGGGGGAGCAAACCGGAUUAGAUACCCGGGUAGUCCCAGCUGUAAACGAUGCAGACUCGGUGAUGCACUGGCUUUUGGCCAGUGCAGUGCCGCAGGGAAGCCGUUAAGUUUGCCGCCUGGGAAGUACGUACGCAAGUAUGAAACUUAAAGGAAUUGGCGGGGGAGCACCACAAGGGGUGAAGCCCUGCGGUUCAAUUGGAGUCAACCGCCGAAA
Molecule: ribosomal RNA, 899 nt
Filed under: uncultured archaeon
Lineage: Archaea
Description: bacterial SSU rRNA
Rfam family: Archaeal small subunit ribosomal RNA
Source: RNAcentral